This 512-nucleotide ribosomal RNA is filed under the name uncultured soil bacterium. Its description in RNAcentral is "bacterial SSU rRNA". It matches the Rfam family "Bacterial small subunit ribosomal RNA", at positions 26 to 528 of the family's 1533-position model. The record is from RNAcentral.
AGGACGAACGCUGGCGGCGCGCUUAACACAUGCAAGUCGAGCGAGAACCAGUCCUUCGGGACUGGGGACAGCGGCGAACGGGUGAGUAACACGUGGGUAAUCUGCCCUCGAUUCUGGGAUAGCCCGGGGAAACCCGGAUUAAUACCGGAUAGCCUCUCGAGCUUUCGAGCUCGUGAGAAAAGGUAGCUUCGGCCUCCGAUCGAGGAUGAGCCCGCGGCGGAUUAGCUUGUUGGUGGGGUAAUGGCCUACCAAGGCUACGAUCCGUAGCUGGUCUGAGAGGACGAUCAGCCACACUGGGACUGAGACACGGCCCAGACUCCUACGGGAGGCAGCAGUGGGGAAUCUUGCGCAAUGGGACGAAAGCCUGACGCAGCGACGCCGCGGUGGGGGAAGAAGGCCUGGUGUAACCUCUUCAGCAGGACGAAGACCACUACGGUUAAGUAGCCCACGAGGUGACGGUACCUGCGAGAAGAAGACCCGGACCUAACCGUAACGUGACCGAGACACGCCGA